GCAUCUACAGGGGGAUAACUGAUGGAAACGUCAGCUAAGACCGCAUAGGUGUAGAGAUCGCAUGAACUCUAUAUGAAAAGUGCUACGGGACUGGUAGAUGAUGGACUUAUGGCGCAUUAGCUGGUUGGUAGGGUAACGGCCUACCAAGGCGACGAUGCGUAGCCGACCUGAGAGGGUGACCGGCCACACUGGGACUGAGACACGGCCCAGACUCCUACGGGAGGCAGCAGUAGGGAAUUUUCGGCAAUGGGGGAAACCCUGACCGAGCAACGCCGCGUGAAGGAAGAAGUAAUUCGUUAUGUAAACUUCUGUCAUAGAGGAAGAACGGUGGAUAUAGGGAAUGAUAUCCAAGUGACGGUACUCUAUAAGAAAGCCACGGCUAACUACGUGCCAGCAGCCGCGGUAAUACGUAGGUGGCGAGCGUUAUCCGGAAUUAUUGGGCGUAAAGAGGGAGCAGGCGGCACUAAGGGUCUGUGGUGAAAGAUCGAAGCUUAACUUCGGUAAGCCAUGGAAACCGUAGAGCUAGAGUGUGUAAGAGGAUCGUGGAAUUCCAUGUGUAGCGGUGAAAUGCGUAGAUAUAUGGAGGAACACCAGUGGCGAAGGCGACGAUCUGGCGCAUAACUGACGCUCAGUCCCGAAAGCGUGGGGAGCAAAUAGGAUUAGAUACCCUAGUAGUCCACGCCGUAAACGAUGAGUACUAAGUGUUGGGAGUCAAAUCUCAGUGCUG
Molecule: ribosomal RNA, 727 nt
Filed under: uncultured bacterium
Lineage: Bacteria
Description: bacterial SSU rRNA
Rfam family: Bacterial small subunit ribosomal RNA
Source: RNAcentral